AUUGAACGCUGGCGGCAUGCUUUACACAUGCAAGUCGAACGGUAACGCGGGGGCAACCCUGGCGACGAGUGGCGAACGGGUGAGUAAUACAUCGGAACGUGCCCAGUAGUGGGGGAUAGC
This 120-nucleotide ribosomal RNA is filed under the name uncultured bacterium. RNAcentral describes it as "partial 16S ribosomal RNA". It matches the Rfam family "Bacterial small subunit ribosomal RNA", at positions 30 to 147 of the family's 1533-position model. The record is from RNAcentral.